CAAGACAUUCCAUAGCCUAGACUCACCUAUUUUUGGCCCUCUGGUUUUUCAGGUAAUAAAAAGUGCCCCAGGUGGAAACACUGACAUGGAGAAUUCAUGAAGCACCUUUUCUGAGAAUCACAGAUGUUGAGAACCAGGCGGGAGUUUAGAGAGCCCCAGAUUCAGCAGCCUCCAAUUGACAAAGAGGAAGACCAGGACUGGACUUGCCCCAAGGGACAGAAAAAACAAUCUCUGGGGCAAAGGGCAGCCAUGCUCUCCUCUGCAGAGACACCUCUCCUCUCUGUCUGUGCUGCUGGGAUGCAGAUGUUCUUACCUACGGGAAGUACCUUCAGCCCUGAGGUCUCCAGGUAGCUGCUCGCAAAAAGCCUCUGAAAUGGCAGAAAGUUAUUGGCCAACUCAGGCCUUCCUGGGCCAGGAUGGAGCUGUCUGACACCACCUAGAGGUUUUAGGCAGGGAAACGGGAGAAAAACUCUGAGCUGGUCAAGUUAGGCUUGUUUUAUUGGGAGUUGUCCCCAAAGGGCUCUGCUAGAGAAGGGUCUAAUUGGAUUCUCAUACUCCCAAGCACAUGCAGGGAGACCUUCCGUAGAAACACGAUGGGGCAGAAGAGAGAGAUGAGCCAGGUCCUUUGGAGAUUUCAGCAUGGGCUAUAACUGAGAACUCAAAUCAAAGGUCUCCCGACCAUUACAAUUUUUUUCAUGUAUAGCUCUUGCUUAUUCUCUACUGAUUUAAUAAUAGGGGAGGCAAUUUUAUGUUGGCUAACAGGUUAAAAAAUCUCAAAAAGAGGAGGAACGAGAGGGCUGUGGUUUCGGAUGGCAGCUGGCUCAAACCAGGUUCUUAACCUGGGGUCUAUUGAUCCCUAGGUAGAUAUCAAGGGGUCCAUGAACUUGAAAAGGAAGAAAAAAUACAUCUUUAGUUCAAUAUAAUUGGUUUCCUUUGUAAUUUAUGUAUUUUAUUUUAUGCAUUUGAAUGUUUUAUUCUGAGGAGUCCAUAGGCUUCCCCAGACUGCCAGAGGGCUCCAUCACCC
RNAcentral lists this long non-coding RNA (1024 nucleotides) under Phascolarctos cinereus (koala). Its description in RNAcentral is "lncRNA (ENSPCIG00000027326.2)". The record is from RNAcentral. Lineage: Eukaryota; Metazoa; Chordata; Mammalia; Diprotodontia; Phascolarctidae.